RNAcentral lists this ribosomal RNA (928 nucleotides) under uncultured Acidobacteriota bacterium. RNAcentral describes it as "bacterial SSU rRNA". It matches the Rfam family "Bacterial small subunit ribosomal RNA", at positions 1 to 916 of the family's 1533-position model. The record is from RNAcentral. Lineage: Bacteria; Pseudomonadati; Acidobacteriota.
UAGAGUUUGAUCUUGGCUCAGAAUCACGCUGGCGGCGUGCUUACACAUGCAAGUCGAACGCGAAAGAGGCUUCGUCUUGAGUAGAGUGGCGAACGGGUGAGUAACACGUGGGUGAUCUACCUCUGAGUGGGGGAUAACGUUCCGAAAGGAGCGCUAAUACCGCAUGACGUCCUGGGUUUGAAGACCUGGACACCAAAGUCGGGGACCGCAAGGCCUGACGCUUGGAGAGGAGCCCGCGCCUGAUUAGCUAGUUGGUGAGGUAACGGCUCACCAAGGCGACGAUCAGUAGCCGGCCUGAGAGGGCGGACGGCCACACUGGGACUGAGACACGGCCCAGACUCCUACGGGAGGCAGCAGUGGGGAAUUGUUCGCAAUGGGCGCAAGCCUGACGACGCAACGCCGCGUGGAGGAUGAAGGUCUUCGGAUUGUAAACUCCUGUUGAUCGGGAAGAAUGGCCUCCGGGUUAAUACUCCGGAGGAGUGACGGUACCGAUUGAGGAAGCCACGGCUAACUCUGUGCCAGCAGCCGCGGUAAUACAGAGGUGGCAAGCGUUGUUCGGAAUUACUGGGCGUAAAGGGCGCGUAGGCGGUCGCCUAAGUCGGACGUGAAAUCCCCAAGCUUAACUUGGGAACUGCGUCCGAUACUGGGUGACUUGAGUUCGGGAGAGGAAUGUGGAAUUCCAGGUGUAGCGGUGAAAUGCGUAGAUAUCUGGAGGAACACCGGUGGCGAAGGCGGCAUUCUGGACCGAAACUGACGCUGAGGCGCGAAAGCCAGGGGAGCAAACGGGAUUAGAUACCCCGGUAGUCCUGGCCCUAAACGAUGAGUGCUUGGUGUGGCGGGUAUCGAUCCCUGCCGUGCCGAAGCUAACGCAUUAAGCACUCCGCCUGGGGAGUACGGUCGCAAGGCUGAGACUUAAACGAAUUGACGG